GGGGUUGUGGCUCAGUGGUAGAGCACUUGCUUAGCACUUGCAAGCACUGGGUUUGAUCCCCAGCACCACA
This 70-nucleotide transfer RNA is filed under the name Marmota monax (woodchuck). Its description in RNAcentral is "tRNA.Ala". It matches the Rfam family "tRNA". From Rfam's summary of the family: Transfer RNA (tRNA) molecules are approximately 80 nucleotides in length. Their secondary structure includes four short double-helical elements and three loops (D, anti-codon, and T loops). Lineage: Eukaryota; Metazoa; Chordata; Mammalia; Rodentia; Sciuridae. The record is from RNAcentral.